CCACAGUUCCAGGUGAGAAGGAUGCAGACUUUAUCUCUCCUACCCGAGGGAGAGAGAGAAGAGAAUUGAGAUCUGCUCCCCCGUGGUCCCUUCCUGCCCCAGGGCCACUCCAGUUCACCUGCAGCAUUCUGGCCUCUGCUCAGAGGGCCUCUGUCCCAGGACUGACUGCAGCCUUUUCUUCACUUGUCUAUAUUUCCUGUUCCUUUCAGAAGUUGGUCUCUUCUCUGCAAUUCAAACCUGGCAGAUGUGAUGGUGGUCAGCGAGCUGGUGGGCAGUCAUUUGGGGACUCCCAGGAGCCAUGCUGAUUCUCCUGAGUCUCUCAUUCGGGGUUACAAAACUGUCGAGCACCGGAGGAAGCCCAUUCACGUGAGGAAGCCCCUUACGCAUAUGCAGACGUUCCCAUCUUCCCCAUCCUCCCACAGCCCCAGGAAGCCACUUUUCUCUCUCUGUGGAUUUGCCUGUGCUGGAAAUUUCAUCAGCAGCUAGUCAGUUUCUGCAGAGGAGCCCGCAGGGAUUCUGAUCGAGACCACGUUGAAUAUACGGAUCGCUCUGGGGAGCACUGCCAUUCCAAGAGCUCUGUCUUCUGAUUCAGGAAUAUUCGUGGUGUGUCUGUCCAGGUGCCCUCACCUCCAGUAGCAUCCAUCCAGACACCAGCACUGACACUGGCAGUGCUCAGAACUGCCUCAGCCCUGAAGACACAACUGACAAAUAGAAGGGGGCCAAGCCCUGUUACAGCAGGUGCUCUCAAUUUGUGGGUCCUUAUGUAACUGCACGUUGUUAUUCAGGAUCGCCCGUUCUACAUUGUGUAGCCCUGCUGCGGUGUCUCCUAGUUACUUGUUUCUAUACUCAGCAGUCCCUGCACCAUUUGUUGAAUAGACUAUUCUUUCAAUGGAGUGUUGUUGGCAACAUUGUGGAAAACUGACUGUAAAUAUAAAGAGACUGAGAAUUAGGCCUUCUCUCUUUUGGGUGGAGCUCAUUAUCAAUGACGGGAAGUUGUAAGGAAAAAGACAUUGAUUCAUCCUGAGAAAACAUUUUUCUGAGAGACAGCAUUGAAGAGGAUGACCACUGAAGAAGGUGAUCAUUGUUCGAUUGAGACGAGCCCCGGGUUGUACGGAGUCAGCAUCCCUGUCCUGGACACGGUCAGUGUAGUGCUGCAUGGUGGGUGAGGCAGCAUGGCCGCGCAGGGAACACGGAUGCCGGGCCGUUGGGCUGUGCUCAGGCCCAGUGGGGCUUUCUCCUAAGGGCAGUGAGCCGUCAUUGACAGAUUUUAAGUACGGGAGUGGGGCGCUCUCGUAGAUCACUUUUGUCUUGUAGAAUGCUUAGAAACAUUUAGAAGGCUCGGCAGAAGGUGAUGUGAUGAGUCAGAUUAGGGUGGCUGCCAGGUGUAGGAGUGUAGAAUGUUCAAGUGGUUUUCAGUCCCAGUUUUGUGUCUCAGUAGCCGUGUCACUUUGGAUGACGCACUCAAGGAAGAGAAACAAUUUAUCUAAUCAAUUAAAGAAGUGAUGUACCGACCUCCCAGGACUGCUGUGGAGAUCCUGUGAGAUAACGUGUGUACAGUGUGCAGCGUGGUCCCCAGAACACAGUCAGUGCUGAGUGAGUGCCAGUGAGUACCUGGUAGGUCAGGUGUGGGUGUUGGGACUCGGUGACUGAGGAAAUCUGGGCCCUGAAGGAGGGGUCCAGUCACAUCUGUGAGUGAUGGGCCUGAGCUGGGAGAGGCAGGGAGACCUUGCCCCCCGACCAGGGGCCCUGGGCAGGACGGCUAUGGGAGGAGCACCAUGAAGUCAGAUCUUUGCAGGUGGAGUUCGAGUUGCCCUUGAGACAUCUAAGUGCAUUGUCAUGAGCUCAAAGAGGAGGUCUGGGCCCGGGCUGUGAAUUUUCCUAUAAUCUCAAUCCCUGAGGACGCCGAGGUAUUGAUCACUGAACGUGAAGACAUACUUUAAAGGACAAGUGAAUAGUAGUAUCAUCUCUGUCAUCAAAGCUCACAUCUCUUUAUUCAUCACAAGUUUGCUAUUGGGUACUUACAGAGCUCACUUCACCGCCCUCCCCUGGACUCAGGCUUCACAGUAAAGAGCUGGUGAGCCUCCCUCUUUUCCAGAAGAAGACACAUUUAGCUGGUAGCCUUCUG
Camelus dromedarius (Arabian camel) is the source of this 2125-nucleotide long non-coding RNA. RefSeq lists it as uncharacterized. The transcript has 6 exons. The record is from RefSeq and is a predicted model, not a curated record. Lineage: Eukaryota; Metazoa; Chordata; Mammalia; Artiodactyla; Camelidae.